GUGGGGAAUAUUGGACAAUGGGCGCAAGCCUGAUCCAGCCAUGCCGCGUGAGUGAUGAAGGCCCUAGGGUUGUAAAGCUCUUUCAGUGGGGACGAUAAUGACGGUACCCACAGAAGAAGCCCCGGCUAACUUCGUGCCAGCAGCCGCGGUAAUACGAAGGGGGCUAGCGUUGUUCGGAUUUACUGGGCGUAAAGCGCACGUAGGCGGAUCGUUAAGUCGAGGGUGAAAUCCUGGAGCUCAACUCCAGAACUGCCUUCGAUACUGGCGAUCUUGAGUCCGGAAGAGGUGAGUGGAACUCCUAGUGUAGAGGUGGAAUUCGUAGAUAUUAGGAAGAACACCAGUGGCGAAGGCGGCUCACUGGUCCGGUACUGACGCUGAGGUGCGAAAGCGUGGGGAGCAAACAGGAUUAGAAACCCGUGUAGUCC
This 425-nucleotide ribosomal RNA is filed under the name uncultured bacterium. RNAcentral describes it as "bacterial SSU rRNA". It matches the Rfam family "Bacterial small subunit ribosomal RNA", at positions 354 to 796 of the family's 1533-position model. The record is from RNAcentral.